CAUCUUUAGUUGCCAGCAGGUUAAGCUGGGCACUCUAGAGAAACUGCCCGUGAUAAGCGGGAGGAAGGUGUGGACGACGUCAAGUCCUCAUGGCCCUUACGGGUUGGGCUACACACGUGCUACAAUGGCAGUGACAAUGGGUUAAUCCCAAAAAGCUGUCUCAGUUUGGAUUGGGGUCUGCAACUCGACCCCAUGAAGUCGGAAUCGCUAGUAAUCGCGUAACAGCAUGUCGCGGUGAAUACGUUC
RNAcentral lists this ribosomal RNA (246 nucleotides) under unidentified alpha proteobacterium groupC. RNAcentral's name for it is "partial 16S small subunit ribosomal RNA". It matches the Rfam family "Bacterial small subunit ribosomal RNA", at positions 1106 to 1373 of the family's 1533-position model. Lineage: Bacteria; Pseudomonadati; Pseudomonadota; Alphaproteobacteria. The record is from RNAcentral.